AGUGAACGCUGGCGGUAGGCCUAACACAUGCAAGUCGAACGGCAGCACAGUAAGAGCUUGCUCUUACGGGUGGCGAGUGGCGGACGGGUGAGGAAUACAUCGGAAUCUACUUUUUCGUGGGGGAUAACGUAGGGAAACUUACGCUAAUACCGCAUACGACCUACGGGUGAAAGCAGGGGAUUUUCGGACCUUGCGCGAUUGAAUGAGCCGAUGUCGGAUUAGCUAGUUGGCGGGGUAAAGGCCCACCAAGGCGACGAUCCGUAGCUGGUCUGAGAGGAUGAUCAGCCACACUGGAACUGAGACACGGUCCAGACUCCUACGGGAGGCAGCAGUGGGGAAUAUUGGACAAAGGGCGUAAGCCUGAUCCAGCCAUACCGCGUGGGUGAAGAAGGCCUUCGGGUUGUAAAGCCCUUUUGUUGGGAAAGAAAAGCAGCAGGUUAAUACCCCGCUGUUCUGACGGUACCCAAAGAAUAAGCACCGGCUAACUUCGUG
RNAcentral lists this ribosomal RNA (492 nucleotides) under uncultured bacterium. Its description in RNAcentral is "partial 16S ribosomal RNA". It matches the Rfam family "Bacterial small subunit ribosomal RNA", at positions 29 to 507 of the family's 1533-position model. The record is from RNAcentral.